UAAAAAUAUAUUAUCUAUCUAUACUGGUUGAAGGUGUGUAGUCUGCAGCUGCAAAAGAGGUAGCUCUGAUCUACUCAAACCUGUGGGCAUGAGAUGGAAAGACUGGUUUAAAGGUGAGAACUAAUAGCCUUGAAUCUCUAUGUUAAAUCUGAGGAAGAGUGUCCAAAGAAGAACAAUGAAGCUGGUUAAAGGUCCUGAGAACAACUCUGGUGAGGAGCAGAAACCAGAGAGGUGCAGCCGGGCGGGCAGGAGGAGACCAAGCG
Molecule: long non-coding RNA, 263 nt
Organism: Manacus vitellinus (golden-collared manakin)
Lineage: Eukaryota; Metazoa; Chordata; Aves; Passeriformes; Pipridae
Exons: 3
Source: RefSeq, a predicted model, not a curated record